This is a long non-coding RNA of Lycium ferocissimum, 586 nucleotides long. RefSeq lists it as uncharacterized. The transcript has 2 exons. The record is from RefSeq and is a predicted model, not a curated record. NCBI's taxonomy places the organism in Eukaryota, Viridiplantae, Streptophyta, Magnoliopsida, Solanales, Solanaceae.
UAAAUAAAAGUUAGGCCACCUUCUACCUAAUAAUCUUUAUAGGAAUCGUCAUGUGGGCCUGGACUUAUGUGGCAGCAAGAGGGAGUAAGUAAGGAUCAACAAGUCAUCAAUACACACAUAUACACACAUCCAUGAAAUAUAUAGAGAAGGGGAAGGGGAGUUUCAUAUAAUUACACCUUGGGAAAGCUAGCUAGUUCUUAUAUGAGCAGCAACAUUAUUGUGUCUCCAGCGGCGAAUAAUCCCAUCAAGUUAGUAGAAAUUUAUGAAAUAAUCUUGUACUUCAGUUCAAGUUCAGGUAGACAGAUCGACGGUCCUCCUCAGUAGAGUGCCAGCUCAGCGGUUGCUUGAUGUGCACCAUUCCUUCCGGAGUGCAAAAUCGAGCCGGUAUGCCUUGUAUAUAUAUGUUUUGGGUAUGGCGGGGCCUUGGCCUGACCUUAUGACAGUCAUGUUACUCUUAGUCGUUGGUAGACAUGUGUCUAGUGUAUAGUUGUGUUGUAUGGCCUUGUCGGCCCAUGUUUUGCUAUACAACUUCCAUGGCGGCCUCGUCGACCCAUAUACAUAUAUAUGUAUAUGCAUGUUGUAUCCA